RNAcentral lists this transfer RNA (38 nucleotides) under Myotis albescens. RNAcentral's name for it is "partial tRNA-Lys". The record is from RNAcentral. Lineage: Eukaryota; Metazoa; Chordata; Mammalia; Chiroptera; Vespertilionidae.
CAUUAAGAAGCUAAGUAGCACUAACCUUUUAAGUUAGA